Molecule: non-coding RNA, 685 nt
Organism: Zonotrichia albicollis (white-throated sparrow)
Lineage: Eukaryota; Metazoa; Chordata; Aves; Passeriformes; Passerellidae
Source: RefSeq, a predicted model, not a curated record
AUGCUGUACACUGAUCUUCAACGCAAAGACAAACACUUUCCAAGUGACCAGCUCACGCUGGAGCCACAGCCACCACUUCAGAGAGCAGAGGGAACAUGGAGUUAAACACCUGCUAAUUUAACUGGGGAGUCAGAAAGAAAAAGAGCUAAAUCCUUCCAAUCUUAUUGCAGUCAUGGGACCAGAUGCCCCAGAAGGAUAGCAAUAAUCUGAUCCAUAGUUGUGCUGAUUUCUUUUUCUGCAAGUGCCCUCUCAUUUGUGGGAUUUACCAAAGGCUCAAUAUCAGACAAGGCUCUUCCACAUUUGCCGUGUGAUGCUCGCGUACGUCCCUAAGUCAGCUGUGAGCCACCACGAGCAGGCAAAGAACUGGAGACUGUGCUACUGAGGAGCUGCCACCCACACAGCCCACCCAGCUGCACUGCUGCUCUUGCUCUUUUCCACUGCCCAGAUGACAAGCCCUCACUGUCAGCCCAUUUCCUGACCCUGCAGCUUCUCAGACAUGUGUGGUUCCAAGGACUCUUAAAGACUCCACAAGAUUACAGCUGUUCCCCAGACCAGCUUGGCAAGCCAGAAUGCAACGUGUUAGCUUUUAUGCUGCAGAAAUUCAUGAUGCUCAGGUAAUGCAAAUUGGCACUCCAUCUCUGUGUUCAAUGAGGGGUGAAUAAACGCUUCUAGGUGCAUAAUAGAA